RNAcentral lists this ribosomal RNA (300 nucleotides) under uncultured soil bacterium. RNAcentral's name for it is "bacterial SSU rRNA". It matches the Rfam family "Bacterial small subunit ribosomal RNA", at positions 26 to 307 of the family's 1533-position model. The record is from RNAcentral.
AGAACGAACGCUGGCGGCGCGCCUAAUACAUGCAAGUCGAGCGAGAAGGUGUAGCAAUACACUUGUAAAGCGGCGAACGGGUGAGGAAUACAUGGGUAACCUACCAUCGAGUGGGGAAUAACCAGCCGAAAGGUUGGCCUAAUACCGCGUACGCCUCCAAAUCUUCGGAUUCGGAGGAAGCCACACUGUGAGUGUCGGCGCUCUUGAGUGGCUCAUGUCCUAUCAGUCUUAGUUGGUACGGGUAACCGGCCUUACCGAAGGUCUUUACGGACGGGUUAGCUAGGUCUGGAGGAGGACCGA